Molecule: transfer RNA, 74 nt
Filed under: Halieaceae bacterium
Lineage: Bacteria; Pseudomonadati; Pseudomonadota; Gammaproteobacteria; Cellvibrionales; Halieaceae
Description: tRNA-Arg
Rfam family: tRNA
About the family: Transfer RNA (tRNA) molecules are approximately 80 nucleotides in length.
Source: RNAcentral
GCCCUUGUAGUGUAGUUUGGACAUCACAUCGGCUUGCGGAGCCGAUAACCCCGGUUCAAAUCCGGGCAGGGGCG